UGGACCAGUGAUGACUGUUGGUGGAGUAUGAGCCAUGGACGAUGACUACUUAGUGUCUGAAACUCUGAGGUCCAA
Small nucleolar RNA from Balaenoptera musculus (blue whale), 75 nucleotides. NCBI's taxonomy places the organism in Eukaryota, Metazoa, Chordata, Mammalia, Artiodactyla, Balaenopteridae. The record is from Ensembl.